GACGAACGCUGGCGGCGUGCUUAACACAUGCAAGUCGAACGGAAAGGCCCUGCUUGCAGGGUACUCGAGUGGCGGACGGGUGAGUAACACGUGGGUGAUCUGCCCUGCACUUCGGGAUAAGCCUGGGAAACUGGGUCUAAUACCGGAUAGGAGCCAUUUUUAGUGUGAUGGUUGGAAAGUUUUUUCGGUGUAGGAUGAGCUCGCGGCCUAUCAGCUUGUUGGUGGGGUAAUGGCCUACCAAGGCGGCGACGGGUAGCCGGCCUGAGAGGGUGGCCGGCCACAUUGGGACUGAGAUACGGCCCAGACUCCUACGGGAGGCAGCAGUGGGGAAUAUUGCACAAUGGGCGCAAGCCUGAUGCAGCGACGCCGCGUGGGGGAUGACGGCCCUCGGGUUGUAAACUCCUUUCGCUAGGGACGAAGCUUUUGUGACGGUACCUAGAUAAGAAGCACCGGCUAACUACGUGCCAGCAGCCGCCGUAA
RNAcentral lists this ribosomal RNA (480 nucleotides) under uncultured bacterium. RNAcentral's name for it is "partial 16S ribosomal RNA". It matches the Rfam family "Bacterial small subunit ribosomal RNA", at positions 28 to 523 of the family's 1533-position model. The record is from RNAcentral.